GGAGGUUUGGGUGAGUGGUUUAAACCAGCAGUCUUGAAAACUGCCGAACAGAAAUGUUCCGUGAGUUCGAAUCUCACAGCCUCCGCCA
RNAcentral lists this transfer RNA (88 nucleotides) under Nitrosomonadales bacterium. Its description in RNAcentral is "tRNA-Ser". It matches the Rfam family "tRNA". From Rfam's summary of the family: Transfer RNA (tRNA) molecules are approximately 80 nucleotides in length. Their secondary structure includes four short double-helical elements and three loops (D, anti-codon, and T loops). Lineage: Bacteria; Pseudomonadati; Pseudomonadota; Betaproteobacteria; Nitrosomonadales. The record is from RNAcentral. RNAcentral also lists the same sequence under 2 other names.